UUGCCCAUAUUUCUUCCACUUGGACUGUGGAAGUAUCAAGUUCCUGAAUCACCUAUUACAGUCAAAAAAGCUGUAUGAAAGGUGAUUGUACGACGGCAGUCUCUGACUAUGGCUGCAAUCUUCCGCUAUUAUAUAGUGUUGCGUCUAUAAUAAAAAAAUUAUGAGUGCAUAAAUUAGUUUAUUAGAGUUUCGUAUAUGUUUUCGCGAAUCUUUUAUCCUUUUUUUUUUUAUCUUUUUUUUUGCUGAUAUAGAAUUGCAUUGAAAGUACAGUGAAGCACUCUUCGCGUUUUCUUUUGACAUUUUAGCAUUUUAGUGUUGCGAAAUAGAAAUAAAUUCCACUCACGGUUUGUUCGGAUUUACAUUGGGUGGAUAAUUAUUUUGGUUACCCUUCUGGUUACCUUUUCGUCGUUUUUUUCAUUUCAGCACCCCCUUAUUAAGAACGUUUGUUAUUGAAAAUACUGUUAAAAUAUGUAUUUCUUUCUUAUCGAUGAAUAUCUCCCAUUUAAAAUAAUGAGUUGCUUAACAACAUUUUGAUAAUUUGUUUUUUUUUUAAUUAAAUUUUUUCCUUUCUUUUUCUAGGUGUAAAUUAUUUUUUAAUUAUUAAUCCAGUAAUUGAGUUUGUUACAGAUAUGAAAUAUGAAAAAUAGAAGAAAAUAAACAGGAAAAAAUAGAUAGAUAAUAAUUUUGUUUCAGAAAUCUCCUUCAGCUUUCAACAAUGGAUUAUGUGGAAUGGAUUACAUCUUAUCAUCAGAUAAAUAUUCUAAUUUUUUAUAUUAGGUAAUAUAGAAUAGGUUGUAGGAAACAUUUAGCUUUUUUUCUUGAUAGAUGGGAUUUAUAAACGAUGUUCUGUUCUUCUUCUUCUUAUUGUUAAAAAAAGCAGCUUCGCUUUCCCCACUUUGAUUCGUUUUCCAAAUCAACAUUUCCUAUUUUUCAAGGCAAUAUGAUCAUUUUGCUAUCCUUAAUUCCUUAAUUUCCUCAUUAUAAACAAAUGCUUGAUACUUGAUAGCUACAUGACUUUGUUCAUUAGCCAUCAUUGGUAUAUACUGAUUUGCAUUUUCCUCUUGCCACAUGUGGUUUUAUGUCGUAUCACAAAUUUUUUGGAAUUUGUGUGUCAUCAAUCAGUGUGAAUGUAAAUAUGAUGAAUGUUGAUACGAAGAGAAUUUGUUAGAUGUUCAAUCAAAGCUGAAUUAGGAACAAAGUGUUUAAAUUCUUAUAUAGAUAAGAAAUAUAAAAAAAAACUUUCAGAAUAAAUUAAAUGUUAAUGUUAUAUUUUUAAUUCAAGUUUGUUUCAGGAUUUCUUACAGGAACAGAAGAUUGUAUAAUUGAUUAAAAAAAAGUGUAUUUAAAAUUAAGUGCAUGCAGAAUCAAGGGUAUUAAAUAAAGUUAUGUAUUGUAGAAAAGUAGAUACUGUAGAUAAAUAGGUGGAUAACAUACAUUUAGGAAAGGAGAAUUUAUUUACGAAUAAAAUAAUUUGGGAAAUUUAUAAA
This is a long non-coding RNA of Apis cerana (Asiatic honeybee), 1487 nucleotides long. RefSeq lists it as uncharacterized. Lineage: Eukaryota; Metazoa; Arthropoda; Insecta; Hymenoptera; Apidae. The record is from RefSeq and is a predicted model, not a curated record.